GACGAACGCUGGCGGCGUGCUUAACACAUGCAAGUGGAGCGACGAACCAGGGCUUGCCCUGGGGCAGAGCCGCGAACGGGUGAGUAACACGUGGGUAACGUGCCCCGAUGACUGGGACAACCCGGGGAAACCCGGGCUAAUACCGGAUGUGCCCCCUCACAUCAGUGAGGUGUGUAAAGGAAGCUCCGGCCUCCGCAUCGGGAUCGGCCCGCGGCCCAUUAGCUUGUUGGUGAGGUAACGGCUCACCAAGGCUGCGAUGGGUAGCUGGUCUGAGAGGACGAUCAGCCACACGGGGACUGAGACACGGCCCAGACUCCUACGGGAGGCAGCAGUGGGGAAUCUUGCGCAAAGCGCGAAAGCGUGACGCAGCAACGCCGCGUGGGGGAAGACGGCCUUCGGGUUGUAAACCCCUUUCAGUUGGGACGAAGGUCGGGCGGUUAACAGCCGUUCCGGCUGACGGUACCUUCACAAGAAGCCCCGGCUAACUACGUG
This 492-nucleotide ribosomal RNA is filed under the name uncultured bacterium. RNAcentral describes it as "partial 16S ribosomal RNA". It matches the Rfam family "Bacterial small subunit ribosomal RNA", at positions 28 to 507 of the family's 1533-position model. The record is from RNAcentral.